Molecule: ribosomal RNA, 444 nt
Filed under: uncultured bacterium
Lineage: Bacteria
Description: partial 16S ribosomal RNA
Rfam family: Bacterial small subunit ribosomal RNA
Source: RNAcentral
CCUACGGGUGGCAGCAGUGGGGAAUAUUGGGCAAUGGAGGCAACUCUUACCCAGCAAUGCCGCGUGAAUGAAGAAGGUCUUCGGAUUGUAAGGUUCUUUAAUUGGGGACGAAAAAAAUGACGGUACCCAAGGAAUAAGCCUCGGCUAACUACGUGCCAGCAGCCGCGGUAAUACGUAGGGGGCAAGCGUUGUUCGGAAUGACUGGGCGUAAAGGGUGUGUAGGCGGUGUAGCAAGUUAGAAGUGAAAUACCUAGAGCUUAACUCAGGUGCUGCUUCUAAAACUGCUAUACUUGAGUGCAGUAGAGGAAAGUGGAAUUCCUAGUGUAGCGGUGAAAUGCAUAGAUAUCACACAGAACACCGAUUGCGAAGGCAUCUCACGAAUCCGCGAUUGACGCUGAUGCACGAAAGCGUGGGUAUCAAACAGGAUUAGAUACCCGUGUAGUC